Tetranychus urticae (two-spotted spider mite) is the source of this 1482-nucleotide long non-coding RNA. RefSeq lists it as uncharacterized. Lineage: Eukaryota; Metazoa; Arthropoda; Arachnida; Trombidiformes; Tetranychidae. The record is from RefSeq and is a predicted model, not a curated record.
AAAAAGAUGUGAUUAUUAGAAAUAACGUUAUUUAUGAGUGAUUCUCCUAUUAGGUCUACUUUCUUGAGAAGCAAAUUUUUCAAAGCCACCAAAGAUGAAAAUUUUUCUGUCUCUUUCUAUUUCUCUGUCUGGUAUAGUUUCUCUCUUUCUCUCAUCUGGUCCUCGUCUGGUUAAUUAAUCAAUGUUAAUUUUGUCCGUCAGAAUUUAGAUAAUAUCGUUGCUGAUUUAUUGGAAAUGUCUUUUAAAGUGAAUCUUCAACUUUGAAGGGAAAAGCAAGUCAAAAAUUUAUGGAGGGCAACAAAGAAAGAGAGAAUUGUCUCGCUCUAACAACCAAUAAAUACCUUGGUCUGGUUCUUUUGGUUUACCUGAUAAGUUAAAAAUGUGUUAAGUCUAAAUUUGGUUAUCAUAAACUCGGCUCGUUCGUUUAAAUAGCUGCGGUUACCGUACCAUACCAAAUAGGAUAAGAAACGUUUGUACCAAUUACCUAAGACAACUUUAAAAGUGUUUUUUGUUCAUCCUAAAAAGUGAGGUAACUUUAAGUAACCAAAGAAUUGCUGUUAUUAUGUUUAAGCCAUUCACCUGGAAAGCCUUUCUAUCUGUAAAGUAUUUAUUUGGAUUCGGAAUACUUAACUGUUAGGAAUUAAAGAAUUGAUAUAAACCUCUUUGGAUAGGAGCAGCUCGGUGUUAACUCUACAUAAAGGUUUAUGAAAUAUGGCUGACUUUUUUGGUUACAUGCGUAAUUAAUAAUGUGAUUAGUUAACCUGCAUAAAUUGAGUCACUUGUGUAGCAAAAUGGUAUUGAUACCUUGACCAAGAUGGAGGGCUGAUGGAUCGUUAAUUGGAACCAAAUAUUAGAUUUAUCUAAAUCAAGUUAUGGCUGAAUGGAAUCAAGUAUUUUUAAUUACAGACACUGGAAGCUAUGCUCAUUGGAAACUGCCAUUGGAAAUUUGAUCAACUAAUUUGUAUUUUACAGAAAACAAUUUGCUUGGAAGCAAACAUUUUCAUGUUCACAUAUAUCAUCGUAUAUUGAUUUUUCAAACCAUGAACGACUCAGUUGAUAUUCUGGAUUCUAACAGUGAAGCGAUACAAUUAAAUAAAAUAAAUCAUGAUCAUCAGGAUACAAUCAUCUUUUUACUGUAUUUUAAUAGAUGUAUCAACAUGGAUGGGUAAAAGCUGAUAUUUUAUACCACUUUGAACAACAACAGUAACGACAAAUCAAAAUGUAGAGAAAUAAUUUUUGAUAAAAAAGAUGAAAAUGAAAAUGAUAAAUGUUUUCAGGUCAACAAACAUUGAUGCCCAUUAUCAGCCGUAAAGGUUGGGUCAGUUUAUUGUUGAUUUCAUUCUGAGGUAAUAAAAAUAAACCCCAUAAUCAAUUAAUUUUUGCACUACUUGGCCUCAAACAAUAAACAAUAAAUAUAGUUCAUUUCAUCAGCCAAUCGUCUUCAAUGAGAAGCAUCAUGAUUAAAUUUAGCCUAAAUCACAA